Scleropages formosus (Asian bonytongue) is the source of this 541-nucleotide long non-coding RNA. RefSeq lists it as uncharacterized. The record is from RefSeq and is a predicted model, not a curated record. NCBI's taxonomy places the organism in Eukaryota, Metazoa, Chordata, Actinopteri, Osteoglossiformes, Osteoglossidae. The transcript is spliced from 3 exons.
UGACACCGUGGCUGCUGCUGCGGCCGCUGGACUAGGGUGGCAGUGCCAGCAUCAUGGGGGGUCUCAACUGCGCACCGUGGCUGUGUGCUGAGGCCUGCCUGAACUCCAGCGGCCUUGCGAUGCCACUCCCCUCCCUAGGCCGCGUCGUCAUGCAUCGACCCGGCACUGAAAGGAGAACGGCAAGAUCUCGGAAAUUCGGCAUGGACAACUUGGAAAGACGCACCAGCACUGUCACACUGCAGCCUCCCCCCUAACGCCUGGAAGCCCAGACAGCAUGGCCGGCAUGGUCUCGCCUCCCCCAUGAGGCGCACUGGAUGUGCAACUUCUCCCGGCCUCAGACCAGCCCAGGAAUCACAGAGGGACAACAGGGAACAAGCACAUGCUCGGACCCAUGUGCAAAACCACCCAGGAUCAUGCCAUGAAGCUAGGGAGUGCGUUGCCAGCAUUGGAAAGGAGGAGAAAACCUACGUCUUAUUUCCAUCUGCAUCCAUUCGCUCCUCUUUUUCUUCAUUUCAUUAGCUUUGCACAAACUAAAUCUAAU